AUAUGGGAUCUGGCCAUUUGGUUUUUUCAAGAAAUUGGGUAUCCCUGGGCCAAAACCCUUGCCUUUCUUUGGAACUGCCUUGGAAUAUCGUAAAGGUAUGGUGGAGUUUGACACCGAGUGCUAUAAGAAAUAUGGGAAAAUCUGGGGGUGAGUAUGUUUACCAACCAGUUCUGUGUGGUAUGUUCCUCACAUUAUCCUAUAGUCAGAAUUCAAAUUGGAGGGUGAAAAAAAUCCACUGGAAGAGGAGAUCUCAAAGGCUCCAAUGCUGUAACAGGACGGUGCCACUGGUUUGAUAGGAAAUUUGUCCACUUCUCCUGGAUUGCAAUUUGUAAAGGAAGGUGUGUAUAUAAAUAUAUUCCAGAUACAUGCUGUAAUUGCAUAUAGAUCCCAAUUAUACCAACUCUGUUCCUGUCUAUAACCCUGACCUGGUGACAUGUGAUAGGUUUGCAUUACCGCUGUCUGCCACUGCAGUUGUAGCAUGGACUACAUGCUCCGGUAACUUCUGCAGGCUAUCCAACUGGCCUUAUACCAUUUCCCCAUCCAUUCAAAAGCCUAUAUCAAUCCUUAUUUAACUUAUCUCCAUUAUCUACUAUAUAUUUUAGAGAGUUUGUCUGUUUGUCUGUAUGUUCAAGAUCUCCUCCUAAAUGAUAAAAACCAAGACCGCAAAAUUCGGUGUUUAGCUUCCUCUUAUCAGAACUUAAAGCAAUGUAAGGGCUUGGUUGUGCCAGAAGAACAGGAUGUGUCUGGAAUGGGAUUGUUUCUCCUAAAGCAAACAAAAAAGAGAAUCACCAAAUCAAGUACAGUCCUCAAAAUUGACAUAACUGAGUGAAUGUUGAAAAGAGACUGAAACAAGAUGAGCCAGAAAAAGAGGAUGAAUCUGGAAUAGGACUGCUUCUCAAUAAACCUUACAGAAAAGAGAUCACACAGAGAAAUUUGGAGUAGUGCUCUUCUGGCACAGCUAAUUCAAUACUUAUGGUUUGAAAACUAGAAUAAAAUGUUAUUGGAAACCAAAUUGACUAUAGCCCUUUUCGGUUAAAACAUAGUGAAUGAUAACAGUUUCUAGGGAUGAAGAAAAAAAUACACUUCAUGGAAUUCCCAUUUUAAAAAACUGCAAAACAUUAAAUGGAAAAGUUUUAACAAUCCCUUUAUAAAAUAAAUCUGAACUUUUAAAAAUAAACCUGAAAGUUAACUUCAUAAAAACAACAUUGUAUUUUUGAAAAAUACAAUCAUUUAAAUAAAGUAUGUACAUUUUCCUGUUGUUUCCCUAACCCCCACCACAAAAAUUGAGUUAAGGACCCUAGCAACAACAGCUAAAUCUGCUAGUAGGAUAAUAAAUCUUUAAACAAUUAUAUAAAACUAGAAUUCAGGCCAAUCAACAAAAGUAUUUCAGUGCUAUCAGCUGAAAAGGUCCAAAUUUGUGAAUCAAAAGGAUAAAAUAAAUGUACUGCUAACAUAAGAGAGUGUAAGGAUCUGGAAAUGUAUAGGCCAAAGAGUGAAUGUUCCUACUGCCUUUAGGAUCCGAUAGCUUUGUGUUCAGCAGCUCUCAUCUCUCAUGGAUUUCAGAGGGUGUUUGGCCUUGUGGAAGAUUGAGCCCUUUCUUUAAAAUGCAUUU
Non-coding RNA from Pelodiscus sinensis (Chinese soft-shelled turtle), 1612 nucleotides. NCBI's taxonomy places the organism in Eukaryota, Metazoa, Chordata, Testudines, Trionychidae. The record is from RefSeq and is a predicted model, not a curated record.